UAUCGAAUUGAGAAAAAAAAAUGAAGAUCAAAUACCCAUCUCAAAACUGCUUUUACAAAAGCAGAAUAAAAAGUGAAAUGAAAUGAAAUGA
This 91-nucleotide long non-coding RNA is filed under the name Jaculus jaculus (lesser Egyptian jerboa). Its description in RNAcentral is "Metastasis associated lung adenocarcinoma transcript 1 (ENSJJAG00000001562.1)". It matches the Rfam family "Metastasis associated lung adenocarcinoma transcript 1". From Rfam's summary of the family: MALAT 1 (metastasis associated lung adenocarcinoma transcript 1) is also known as NEAT2 (noncoding nuclear-enriched abundant transcript 2). It is a large, infrequently spliced RNA, which is highly conserved amongst mammals. Lineage: Eukaryota; Metazoa; Chordata; Mammalia; Rodentia; Dipodidae. The record is from RNAcentral.